RNAcentral lists this ribosomal RNA (424 nucleotides) under uncultured bacterium. Its description in RNAcentral is "bacterial SSU rRNA". It matches the Rfam family "Bacterial small subunit ribosomal RNA", at positions 355 to 771 of the family's 1533-position model. The record is from RNAcentral.
UGGGGAAUAUUGGACAAUGGGGGCAACCCUGAUCCAGCCAUGCCGCGUGUGUGAAGAAGGUCUUCGGAUUGUAAAGCACUUUAAGCUGGGAGGAAGGGCAGUAAGUUAAUACCUUGCUGUUUUGACGUUACCAGCAGAAUAAGCACCGGCUAACUUCGUGCCAGCAGCCGCGGUAAUACGAAGGGUGCAAGCGUUAAUCGGAAUUACUGGGCGUAAAGCGCGCGUAGGUGGUUCAGCAAGUUGGAUGUGAAAGCCCCGGGCUCAACCUGGGAACUGCAUCCAAAACUACUGGGCUAGAGUAUGGUAGAGGGUGGUGGAAUUUCCUGUGUAGCGGUGAAAUGCGUAGAUAUAGGAAGGAACACCAGUGGCGAAGGCGACCACCUGGACUAAUACUGACACUGAGGUGCGAAAGCGUGGGGAGCAA